This 245-nucleotide ribosomal RNA is filed under the name uncultured bacterium. Its description in RNAcentral is "partial small subunit ribosomal RNA". It matches the Rfam family "Bacterial small subunit ribosomal RNA", at positions 26 to 285 of the family's 1533-position model. The record is from RNAcentral.
AGAAUCAACGCUGGCGGCGUGCCUAACGCAUGCAAGUCGAACGAGAAAGGGACUUCGGUCCUGAGUACAGUGGCGCACGGGUGAGUAACACGUGACUAACCUACCCUGGAGUGGGGAAUAACUGAGGGAAACCUUAGCUAAUACCGCAUAAUACCUACGGGUCAAAGGAGCAAUUCGCUUCAGGAGGGGGUCGCGGCCGAUUAGCUAGUUGGCGGGGUAAUGGCCCACCAAGGCAAUGAUCGGUA